This 743-nucleotide ribosomal RNA is filed under the name uncultured bacterium. Its description in RNAcentral is "bacterial SSU rRNA". It matches the Rfam family "Bacterial small subunit ribosomal RNA", at positions 56 to 835 of the family's 1533-position model. The record is from RNAcentral.
UGCAAGUAGAACGGUCCCGAUAGCAAUAUCGGGAAAGUUGCGAACGGCUGAGUAAUCAAUAGGAAUCUUUCCUUUAGUGUGGAAUACCUCAUCGAAAGAUGAGCUAAUACCGCAUAAUACCUACGGGUGAAAGCAAUUAACUUUGCGCUGAUUGAGGAGCCUAUUGCCCAUCAGGCAGUUGGUAGGGUAAUGGCCUACCAAACCUACGACGGGUACCCGAUCUGAGAGGAUGGACGGGCAGAAUGGGACUGAGACACGGCCCAUACACCUACGGGUGGCAGCAACUGGGAAUCGUACACAAUGGACGAAAGUCUGAUGUCGCGACGCCGCGUGAAGGAUGAAGGCGUUUUCGUUGUAAACUUCUUUUGAUUUGAUGGAGACAUCAAGUAGAAUAAGCACCUGCUAAUCUCGUGCCAGCAGCCGCGGUAAUACGAGAGGUGCAAGCGUUGUCCGGAUUUAUUGGGCGUAAAGCGUUUCUAAAGGCUCUUUUGUAAGUUAAUUUUCAAAGACCGGGGCUCAACCUCGGGAAGGGGGUUAAUACUGCAAGAGUGGAGAUAUUUCGGGGUUACUAGAACUAUCGGUGUAGGGGUGAAAUCCGUUGAUAUCGAUAGGAAUUCCAAGGGCGAAGGCAGGUAACUAGGAAUGUUCUGACGCUGAUGAACGAAAGCUAGGGUAGCGAAAGGGAUUAGAGACCCCUGUAGUCCUAGCCGUAAACUAUCCCCGCUAGAGAUGAGGCGUAAGCU